This 527-nucleotide long non-coding RNA is filed under the name Lathyrus oleraceus (garden pea). Its description in RNAcentral is "Pisum sativum (pea) long non-coding RNA (PSAT_LNC000191)". The record is from RNAcentral. Lineage: Eukaryota; Viridiplantae; Streptophyta; Magnoliopsida; Fabales; Fabaceae.
GCAGCCUAUGCCAAAGUACAUCAAGUUUUCUCGAGCAGUGAGUGUAUUGUUUCACAGUCGAUAAACUUUUUGCUUAGGUAAAUUGCGUGCUCUUUUCGACAAGACUAGUCAUACUGACUCAAUACGCACCUCAUAGACCCCUUAAGGGCUGUCAGGUACCAGAUUAGCAGUCGUUUCUUCCCCGGAAGGUAUCAGAAUCAGAGGUUCCUACUAUUCCUUUUUUUUUGUCUUUCCAUGCCCCUUGGCAGUCCUCAUUCCACCUGACCAUUUGAUUUCUUUCUUUUUUGUUUAUUUUUGGUUCAGGCGUUUCUAGUACUUUUCUUUUUUUUUUUUUUUUUUUUUGCAGGAUCGACCUCGAUUCCUCUUUCAUUCGCAACAUGCCUCGGCAGCUUGCUGGACAGCACUCCAUAAGUGCGCUAAUUCGAACUCAACAGUAUGAGUUAUCUCUACCUGUCAAACAACUUGAUCCACCGGAUGCCCCUCUUCUGCUUGGGACUUUGCCAUCAUGUCAUCAACAUGGCAUUUGC